UGGAAUAGCUCAGACGGUAGAGCGACGCUCUCGUAAAGCGUAGGUCGAGGGUUCAAGUCCCUUUUCC
Molecule: transfer RNA, 67 nt
Filed under: human gut metagenome
Also listed under: 1 other name
Rfam family: tRNA
About the family: Transfer RNA (tRNA) molecules are approximately 80 nucleotides in length. Their secondary structure includes four short double-helical elements and three loops (D, anti-codon, and T loops).
Source: RNAcentral